CUUUGAAGUCCGUUGCAUUUGUGAUUUUUCUUUGAUCAUUGCUGUGGAAAUGACUGAGAUGUUUUUCUCCUAGGUUUGUGUGCACACGGGUGUAAGAGGACCGAGAACUUCAGUAAAGGUGAAACAUCUGACCUUAUCUUGACUUGGUUAGGAUGAAAGUAACACUAAAUAGGACCAAAUUAUGUUCUAACUACCUUGAGAGACUAAUGAGGAGGGAGUACUAUUAUUUUUCUACUUCUAUCAAUGCGUUCAAUACAGUAUGAGAUGGCUGGAAGAGCUCAGUGAAGUGCAGGGAUCUAAACAUGCCAGGGAGUACCUUAGGUACUGCUUCUGUCACUGGGUUUCCAGUGGUGGCACGUGAUACCUAAUAGCUCAAAAGGAUAAAAGGUCCCUGGAAAAGAAGACAAAGAACCCAUUCUUUUCCCACCGUCUCUGAGCAGAAAGGUCACAAAAAAGGGAAAACUUGUGUUUUCCAGGGAAGGCCCAGCCACACCACAUCCCCCAGUUCCCAGAGCAUCCCAGAAGUGCUCUGUGCCCUGAGCCAGGAGGGAGAAUCGACUCCCUGCUGAUAAAAAUUGACCUAAGGAGAUCUCUGAGCCAUCACAUACAGCUCUUGCAAUAGCAAUUCAAAGCUGAGGGGUGACCAGCCAGGGCACCGAUGCGAGGAAUGACGCGGAAAGUCCUGAAGAAUAAAGUAAUGGCAUUUCUUAUUUUUAUUAGAUCAAUCUGGGGCGUACGAGCUCUCAAACCCAGCUUAGGAUCAUCUUCUCUGAAAAGGACUGAGAGGGAACAGGAAAGGCUGGAGCUCAGGAAAACGAGGCAGGUCUGGAAGAAAGAAAGAAAUGGUCCAUACGAGUGGCAUGACAUUUUUGCCCUGUAAAGACUUGAAGGAGUGAAGCUGAAGAGAUGAAUCCCUGUUUUUCCCUACUGACAUCUUAAUAUCUCAUCCCAGUGCAUGGGCAGAGCAGGUGAGGUGGGUGCUUGUGCCCAGGACUGGGGUCAGCAGCCUAGGUGGGUGCUUGUGCCCAGGACUGGGGUCAAUAGCCUUUAGAUGGCCAUGUAGAUGGCCAUGGCCUCCUGGGCGCAUGUGGCCAUUGGCCCAUCUGACCCACUCUGGUUCAGGCUGGAGGAAAGGCCCCAGAAGCAGCGAUUAUGGGAAUAAAAGGAAAUUUAUACAAGCCA
RNAcentral lists this long non-coding RNA (1182 nucleotides) under Calidris pugnax (ruff). RNAcentral's name for it is "lncRNA (ENSCPUG00000015608.1)". Lineage: Eukaryota; Metazoa; Chordata; Aves; Charadriiformes; Scolopacidae. The record is from RNAcentral.